This 73-nucleotide non-coding RNA is filed under the name uncultured Phascolarctobacterium sp. RNAcentral's name for it is "NiCo riboswitch". It matches the Rfam family "NiCo (Nickel/Cobalt) riboswitch aptamer". Lineage: Bacteria; Bacillati; Bacillota; Negativicutes; Acidaminococcales; Acidaminococcaceae. The record is from RNAcentral.
ACAGUACAAGCUGAUCAGGCUGCAUACGCGGCCGGGCCUUACGGCAGCAGAUAAUCUUACAUCUGCGGGACAG